GGCUAUGGUGGUGUCUUGAAGGAUUCACUAAGGCCUCAUGCACAUGACAGUGAAUAAUGGCCGUGUGACAGGCGUUUAAGUAACGGCCGUCACACAGCCAUUUUUAGCACCAAUGAAAGACUAUGGGGCUAUUCACAUGGC
Long non-coding RNA from Bufo bufo (common toad), 141 nucleotides. RefSeq lists it as uncharacterized. The transcript has 3 exons. The record is from RefSeq and is a predicted model, not a curated record. Lineage: Eukaryota; Metazoa; Chordata; Amphibia; Anura; Bufonidae.